CCCUUUCUUUUGGACUUUAAUGUGUAUAAUUGCAAUUGUCCAUCUUUUCUGUUGGACUAGGAUUGUAUCCCCUCAAACUCCCUUAGCAUCAGGGGCAUGUUAACCAUAAAUGAGCUCUUCCUGAGAGUAUUAAUAUACAUACUUGUAUUUGUUUGUGGAUUUGUGCAGUGUGAAAGGAUGCUUUAUGCCCCUACCAUUGCCUUUGGAUUGCUGCUGAGGACUGCUAUCAUGACCUCAGCUCUUGGACAAUUAAUAUGCCCCACUAGCAAUGAUGGGACCUAUGUACUCCCUUUGUAUACAUCAGGGGUACUGACUAAGGUCCCUUUCUUGGACAGUCAAUGGGCAAUUAUCUAUGUUCCCUUCUGUUAGAUUUAGGAUAACAUUCCCUUAAACCCCCUUUGCAUUACUAUAGUAAUUACUAUUACUAUAUUACUAUACUAUUAUAUUUUGUGCUGACCACACAAAACUUCUCCUGGGACUGUUAAUGGGCACAAUGGCAAUUAGCAAUGAGUUUUUCCUCCCUGGCCUUGUUAGGCAAACAUUCCCAGCCCCAAUUUUGCAUGACAUAAUUUAAGUAUAAACAUUGCAGUAUGCUGUGAACUUGUUUAUCAAAUAGCAACCCAUACUCCCUCUCCUUUUGUAUUGCUCCUAUCUAUAAAAUUCCAAGUAGUCAUGGUCUUCCCCUUAUCCUCCCUCUUCCCAGCCCGUGCUCACCCUUGGACCCUUCCUAUGGACCUUUUUCACAGUUUCAGGUGUUCAUCUAUUCAGCCAUUAAAUAAGAUUGUCCCUCCCCCCCCCCUUUGCAUUAUUGCUGGGGAAUGUUGACUGGGCAAGGCCCUUGCUCUUGGACUUAAAACAUUAACAAUCCCUGUGUCAUUGCCUUACCCACUUUAUAUUGCUGUAAUGCCUCAGUUGUACUUUCCUUAGUCCCACCCAUCGGACAUGGACCCCUCCACUUCUUUGCAUUGCAUUGCUGACUACCCAAAGUCCCUUCUGUGUUAUUGACACAGUACUGAUUGUCCCAUUUUUCCGCUCAUCAGCCCACGAUUUUCCUACCACUUUGAUGUCAAGUGUGCAGUAUUGACUACCAAAAGCAGACCUGAAUUAAGUGGAUGGGCCUUCACUCCUUUUUCUGCAUUUGUUAAUGAUCCAAUUCCAGUUGUCACAUUCUGGGACAGGAACCGUCCCUACCCACCUUUGUUACUGCUUUACUGAGCAAAAUGCUCAAGGCAAGUCAGGCCUAGAAAGCCGGAUUGCUGCCCUUUAUUAUGGAUUUUCAAUAUAAGUAUCAGUUGAAAAUUGUCUCCCCAGGAAGAAAGGUUAGCACCAUCUGUGCAUUCUUCCUUCCAGAGCAGAUUGCCUGGCCAAGAAUCUCUCUUCCCCUCUUGUAUAUUGCUAGUGUACAGUGCCGGUUGCCAGGAUACAAUAAAAAAAAUGCUGUUUGCAAGAUGGAAUUGUAAACCUGGUCAUUUAAUUUUUGAAGUCCAAAAACCCAUUUAUACUAUGUACCUGAUGACCAGUGUCUCUCAUUUUACUAUGGGUGGUGGGUCUGUGGAUAGACCACUGUGAAUCUUGCUAUUUUAGUAUUCCCAAGAGUUCUAGAGCAGAACUCUUCAGACACAUAUCUUUGGGCUCUACCACCAUUUUAAAACCAUUCUUUAUUCGGGCUUUACCACCGUUCACUUUUAGAAAAACUACCUAAACUUUCUAAUCCUUAAAUUUCUUCAUCUGGAUCAUCAACCACACUUAUUUCAAGAAGAUUGCUGUAAAAGAAUGAACUGAGAGAACAUAUGCUGAGGCACUUUGGAAAACCAUAGUUCACUUUACCUGAUUAAUCUAUUACAUAAAUAAAAUGCACCCUGUUUAAUUCUGCUAAUUUAAAGUAGCCUGAAGCAUUACACUGAAGUGAGGACUUAGAAAUGAUGGGACCAAUUUCCCUGUUUUAUAUUAAAGGAAAAAUAAGCCAAGAUCUAGUCAUUCUUCUGGACAUAAAUUUUCAACAGUGAGAUAGCUUCCUGGUAAAAUGAAUAAUAUCCUAGCCUCUAGUGUGCAGGGUGUGGCAGAGAAGUAUCUAAUAUGGAACUGCUGAAGCAAAUAACUAGUCAUCACAACAGCAGUUCUUUGUAAUCACUGAAAAAGGAUACUAUUCCUCUAACAAGGAUGUCAAAAGAUCGGCCCAGCUCAGGGUGCAGUAUGCACUACUAGCUCCUUGGACCGCUGUAAGAAGAGUCUCUGGCUCUUUAGAAUACUGGAUGAAUUCUGAGCUGGUUUUGUACCUCCAGUCAAGAGGAAGGAUGGAUCAACUAUAAGUGGAUUGAAGCCUGCACUAGACAGCAUCCAAAGAUCUUCCUCAGAAGAAUAGGCUUGUUGCUCUAUAGUGUUAGUGACCCGUUCCCUUUGACGAUCCCUAGGUGGAGAUGGGGCAUGAGGAUCCUCCAGGGGAAAAGCUCACUACCACUGGGCAACAACCCUAGGCCAGGAGGUUCUACCAAGAUUCUUCCCUAGGCCCAGGGAGGAAGAUGAAGUCUCAAAACAACCACCACCCAUCAGAGGUGGGAGAACAUGGGCAACAAGUGCCACAUCUGUGACCUUGAUCAUGGGCAGAUCACCAUUUUGGACCCUCUGGUCCCCAGAGUCUUUCUUGAGGCCCUGUUGGGGAAUUUUGACAAUCAUUUACAUACUUCAAGAUGGCUUAGGAUGUCUUUGGGAUAAAACACAAAACAAGCUGUUUGAGAAGAUAAAUAGGAAUUGUAUACUUGCUGAUUAAUGGAACCUGACCAGAAAUGGCACAAAGUUUCUGUUGUCAGCUCCUGAUUGUUCCCUUCUUAUCUGCCAAAUCACUGUCUCCCAAAAGCAGUGCAGAGUGCAAGAAAGUGGAACAUACCAAAGGAAGAUCAACAUGCCUGGCAUGCUACCAUUUUAGAACAGCAGAAUGAAUGUGUAUGUCUUUGCUUGUCUAUUUCUUUCUUGAAUCUCUUUGGUUGUCUUUCUCCGUCUAAAGUGUGUCUUAGCCAUCCCAUGAUUCUCUUGCUAGUUUCUUCUCUGUAUCUUCUCAGUAUCUUUGUCUCAUUUUGUUUUUUGUCCCUAAGAGUGGUCUGUGCCUUGUCUUAGAUGUCUCUCUCUAGUUUCUUUGUUGUUGUUGUUACUGAUUCUCUUUACUCUCCUAGAACUGGCUGUUCUUUCACUGUUCUUCCCUUUUUGUCUCUGAGUCACAUGCUGUGUGCUUUUUGUUCAUUUCUUGUUCUGCCUAUACCUCUCUUCUUUUACUGUUGUGAACUCUUGAUUGUUCGUCUUCCCUUCCCCUUGUUGUUGGUUUGACAUUUCACCUUUUUCUCAUUCUGGCUUCCCUUCUGCUUUUUCUACUCAUUAUCUCACAUUUCUCUUUUCUGUAUAUUUGUUCUGCCUCUCUUGGCCAUUUUCUGUCUUUUUUUCCCCUGCUAAGUGUCUCUUUGUUCUUUGUGAUUUUCCAUUUCAGCAUUCAUCUCUGUUCUUUGUGAUUUUUCAUUUCAGCAUUCAUCUCUGUUCUUUGUGAUUUACUAUUUCAGCAUUCAUCUCUGUUCUUUGUGAUUUACCAUUUCAGCAUUCAUCUCUGUUCUCUUGUUUCUUCUCUGCUUUUCCCCUUCUGCUUACCUUUGAGUAUUUCAGUCUCUAUAUGUGUCUGUGUUUCCCCCCUUUGACUUUAUGCAGUCCUCUCUCCUUGCAUAUUUUUGUGCAUCUGUGUGGUCAUGUGUGUGUGUUUGUAACAAAGGGGUUUCCUAACCCCUUCCCAAUAGGUACAGAGUGCCAGCUAUCAAAAUCAUGCAGAGCUGUUCGUUAUGCCAGGACACCUUGUGAGAUGAUCUAAGACCUAUGAUGGACAGAAGGUGGAAGACCCAGAAUGGAUAGAAGGCCCAAUGGUUUGAGACUUGAGACCUGAGGACAAACAUGGAAAACCUGUGUUUCAAGAUAGAUGGAAUCCUCAGGCUUGAGACCAACAAAGCCCUGACAGCUAUGAUGUAAAAAGGUGGCUCUUGUUGGAGAGAAGACCUAACUGAGUUGGAUGGAAAGUUCAAAUCUUGAGUUAGAAGUCCAAAGACCCAGAGUGGGAGACUGUAGGCCUAAGUGUGGGGACCCAUGGAAGGCCUGAGACCUAAGACACAAGGUCUAAGACUUGAGAUAAAAACCUAAGAUCCAGGAUGGAAGGCCCCAGACACACAUAAAGACCCAGGACUCCUGCCUGUCUAAAUGGACAGAAGGCCGAAGAGAGAAAGAUGUCUCAAGGCUAAAUUAGGUGGGAAGCUGGAAGCCCAUGACACAGAAUCUGGGAAGAAUAGAAGCCCCAAGACCAAAGGAAAUCCCAAGAUGAAAACACUAAACCCCAGCUUCUUUCUAUUGCUACCCUCCCUACCCCUUGACAUUUUCAGUUCUCCCUUUCCAGUUCUUAUGUUUUCAUUUAAGCCCACUUCUUUUGAGGAGCCCUUUUUGAUGUUGCUAUUACCUUAGGAAACGUAUCUUUAGAUUGGCAAUAUUAUGCUUGGGCCAGUCUUAAGCCAAAUUUUAUCACAGUUUUGAGCCAUUUAUUGUUUAUUUUUUAAAUUUCCAUUUCUCUUCACCUCUGCUCCUUGAGAGACACAUAUAGGUAACAUUGUAUUUCAGUCCUCCCUUUUCCUUAGAAGCUCUAGCCUGAUGAGCAAAGGCAAGCAUCAGGCUGUUGGGGGAAAAAAAGUGCCAGGCUAUCUAGAGGAAAUGUGAAGAGAUGUUCCAGGCCAAUGAGAAGAAUUAGACAAGAAAUACCCAGAUGUGCCAUCCUGUUGAGAAGCACCAGCCUGCAACACCUUUCUUCUUUGAGCUUGGGUGAGCAGGAUUCUUGGGGUUUGGGAUUCCUAGUAAUGGUUACAAAAUGAAUGAUUGGGCCUGGGAUGGAGUGAGGCUCCAAAGAGACAGUUUGAACUCCCUGCUUAUAGUAGUGGCCUAAUAAUUUGGUAGAUUGUGCUAGCACUGCUCCUGGGUUUAAUACCCACCUCUAGGCUUAAAGGUGAGAGAACUUGGGAAUAUUAGCAGGUUUAAUUCUUCCCUUGAUUUUUCCCCCCUUACCACGAGGGUAGAUAAUUUAAAUAACUGAGAAUAUAUGUGAAAGCACUGUAAAGCACAGAAAAAACAAGGCAUUCUCAUUAAUAGUAUAUUGGCAGCCAUGCAUAGCUAACAUUUAAAGUGCACUGUCAGUUGUGAAGCAUUAUGUAAAUCAGGAGUCAUCACACACUUUCCAUAAAGGGUCAGAUGGUAAAUAUUUUAGGUUUUGUGGGCCAUAUGGUCUCUGACACAUUUUUUUCCUUUACAACCCUUUAAAAAGGAAAAACUAUUCUUAGCUGGUGAACCAAGUAGAUUUAGUCUGGGGGCCAUAGUUUUUAUCACCCCUGAUGUAAAUACCAGGGACUAUGUGCUGAAUAAUAAUAUUUCUGUAUGCCUGUCCCUGUGUACUAAGGAUGCAAUAUUUAUUUAUGAUCACAUCCAGGUGACUUGAAGAAAAAUAUGUGAAUGUGCUUUGUAAACUAUAAAGCACUUAAAGAUUUAUGAGUUUCAGAGUUGAUGAAUGAAUAUUGAUUACAUAGUAUCUAUAUUCUAAAAGAAGCCUGAAUAAAGUACUUUGUCAAAAGUAUAUAAUACUAUGCAGAUACUAGGAAUUGUUUGAAAAAUGAAUAACUCCUAUAUUUGUGGCUAUCGUGUUUCUGCUGCUCUGGUAAUUUUUAGGUAAAAAUACAGUAUUCCAGGUAGCAGAGAAGCAAACACAUGGAAACUGCUUUGAAACCAUAAAAUAUACUGCAAGCACAGGGUAUUAAACUAUUGUGAGCCCUUAAAAUGUGCCGGAUACCAUGGUAGGUGCUACAGAUGUCAAAGGGAAAAGAAGUGUUCUCAUUAUGGAAUUAAAAAUUUCAGAGUAUGAGGUGCAUGUUAAAGUGCUUUAUAUACUAAAGCACUAUAUAAAAACCAGUGGGUUACAUGUUUAUGAAUGGAUGAAUAUUAAUUGCCUUUUAUGGGCCCGGUACUGUUCGGGUACUGUGAAAUCUAAGAUAAUGCUCCCAUGUAAUAAGAGGGAGGUUUAUGUCCUAGACUAUUUAGAUAUAAGGAAUUAGAUAUUGGUUGUUUUAAUCAAGACUUUACUGGUCAUGUCAAAUUAAAUGAUCAGUAUAUUUUCCCAGGUGACGGGAAAAUGUAAUGAUUGAGAUUGCCCUUGCACUUUCUAAAGUGCUCUAUAAAUAUAGGACAUUAUCUAUUUUCUGUGUGAAUAAAACUUUCUGUGAGAUAGGCAUUUUCUGUACAAAAUUCUCAUUGUGUGCUUGACUAUGAUGAAGGUAGUAUAAACAGUUAUACAAACUGAGGGUUUAAAUACUUGUUGAAUGAAUGAAUAUCAUCAGUUGCUCACUAGGUAAACUCACUAUUAUAGGCACUAAAGAGAUAGACUUAUCAUUUCAUUGUGCUUACAGCUGAGAAUAAGGCAAUACAUGUGUGGUAUUUUGGAAACUCUAAAGCACCUUGUAAGUGUAACUACUUAUUUUCUAAUUUGGUGCUGAGUACUAGGCUUAUAAAAUUAUAUUGUAGUCGUCAUUAUACUAUGAAAAAAGUUGAAAAAUUUUUGAGGAAAAAUUACCUCUUGAACACUCUGAAUGUAAUAUAUAAAGGAUUAAAUAUCUGAUAAAUAUAAAACUGGAUAAUAAUUGUCUAUUAUGUGCCAAUCUCAUAAGUCAUUGGCGAUGUGAAAUUAGACCAUCUUUAUUGUGUCCUGGGUAGCAGCAGAUAAUGUAUAAAAUCAAUUUAUAAGUUUUAUACUGCCAAAACAAUAUCUGCUGAGUGAACAUUGAUUACUUACUCUCUUUUAUCCCCAAAGAUAGCAAGUGGGGAUGCAAAAAUUCGUUAUCAGAGAUGUGCAAAUUUACAGAGCCUAUUGUUCUAUACAGAUAUAAGGAAAUAAUUUGGCUUAAUGAAUGAUUACUGGUUACUUUCUAUGAGGCUCAGAACUGUCCAUGCCCUACGAUACGAAAAUGAUUUUGUCCUUAUGGGGUGUUCAUUGGAGGAAAUAAGCAAAUAGGUGGGAGAUCCAGACUAAAAGUUACUUAAGCACUGCAAAGCUUAUUUAAUAAAAACAUGGGGAAAAUGGAAUUGUGCCAGGCAGUAUGCUAAAUGCUGACCUCUGUGGAAAGAUAAAAUCUGAAUCAGAGGUGUACUUGCUCCCUGGCCUGGCUGAAGAGAUGGGAAAUAUUUUUAAAAAGCAAGGUGUUACAGUUCUCUCAGUCUUUAAAAUGCUGAAUGCUGAAGGUGGAAGUGAAUUCAAUCCACCCUGGUCUGGCUUGAGUCAUUAAAGGAGUAAAAAUAAAUGACUCAGGAGUAAAAAGCAAAUGGCUUUGUUUUUAGAUUCAUUUGAGAUGAAAGACAUCGUUCUAGGUCUUAAGAGAAGUGAAAUGGGCCAAGUCUAAAGGGCAUUAGAAUACAGAUUAUGGAUGAAGAUAAGAAAAUACUGAGUUUUGAGCAAAUAUUUGAGUGCCUGUUCUCCGGAACGUAUUAUGCUAGAAAAAUUAGUUAAGUGGGUCUGGUCCAGAAAAUGCACAUUGACAUGCCUUGGAGAUUAAAAAAAUAGAAAAAUAAGGCAUGGUUCUUUUAAUAUUAAAUGAAGACAUUAUUUCUAGUUCUAGAAAGUCCCAAUGUCACUUGCUCAUUGACCUAGUUUGAAGCCCAAAGACUGAUACAAGGGCGCUUAGGACUUGUCCUUUUAUUCGUUACUUUAAUACUCUGUUUUUAUUAUAGAUGAAUGAUUUAAGAUGAGAAUUAAGAUGAAAUAACUGGUUUUAAAAAUAUUUGCUUAUUGACCUGGCUUAGAGUCAGGAAGCCACUUGAGCAGAUUUUUUCCCUACAUUUUCCAUAUUUUGUAAAAAUUUAUUUACCCUGAGUAAAGUACUGUUCUCAAAUGCUGAGAAUUAAGAAAUAAAAGUCCUAGACCAAAAUGUAAUUUAAUCUCAAUAGUCUAUGGUGGAAACACAAGAACAAAUUUAAUAAGAGACUGAAGUUCUUUUAUUACUUGAAUAAAUGUUAUUGAGCAGCUAGGAUAUUAAGACACUAAGAACAAGUGACCACCUUCUCUUUGACAUGUUUUGUAGAGUGGGAAUAAGAGAGGGCUUUCUAUUAAUUCAUACUAAUACUGAAGGUGAUGUUAAAUUGGAACAGAUCUGGUAUAAAAUGCACUUAGUUUAUCUUGGAGAUGCAAUAAAACAAAACAACACAAAAAAUGGAAUGAAAUUCUUCCUUAAAUGGAAGUGUCUAUUUAAAGGUAUUCUGUUGCUAGACAGAAAACAAAAAAGAUCAUGACUGAAAGAAACUGAUUUUUUAUUAGCUUGGAGACUAGGAUAUAAGAGGUUACUGUUCAUUUCUUCAUUUAUGCAUUCUACAAGUAUGUUUGAGUGCCUAUUAUGUAUAAGGUUUUUUGCUAUGUUCCAGUUCUCCUCAGAGACACGAAAAAAUGAAUGCUUUCCUAUAGAACUUUUAAAACUUUCCUUUUGGCCUGUUUUCUGAUUAGGGGCAUGGCUUAGUCCCUUAAUAAUGUUGUAGGUUUUAAUUCCUGUUCUGUGUUUCUUCUACCACUCUGGCCACUACAGUAAGCAGGGUUUUCUAUUGAGCUAGCUCUUUAAGUGUGAGGAACUUUCCUUAUAGUAGAAUUACUUUAUUUUUCUUGGCCCAUCCCUCAGAAAAAAUGGCUGUGACCACUGCUAGGCAGAAGGAGGGAUGAGAAACAACUAAUUCCCAAACCCCAGUCUCAUUGGUACCAGCCUUGGGGAAACACUCAUACUCAAGCCACAUUUGGUUUUGAAACACAUUUAUCAGUUUUAUUUGCUUUUAAUUCUUUACAUUUUACAUUCUGACAAAUAUACACUGCCUAAAUCUCCUUUAAGAACAAUCUUCAGAUGGUACAUAACAUAAUGGGAGAGACAUGAUUUCUCUUUUGCAACAGCUUUGCAAUUUAAUCUUUAGAAAUCUCACCAUCAAAACAUGUUCAAGAAAGGAUCUCUUAUAGUGGAAUUAUGUCAGUGAAUAAAAAUAGCUUAAUUUUACCAUGUUUAAAAUUAUAAAAUAAUAGAAAUUGGAAGUAAUUGGCAAAAACUGGAGGUAAAUAAUAAAAAAAUCCUCAAUCUAGCGCCCAACUGGGCUUUGACCUUUUCUAUUUUUAAAUCACUCACAGCGGGUGGGAUUAGGAGGAAGAGUGAAAGAGAAGGUCAAACCAGUUUUAAGGGCAGCCUGCUUGUGUUUUGUAUUGGUUUUAAGAGCAUUACUACCUCCAAAUCAAACUAGGGGAUUGCUUUUUUUAGUUUAAUGCAAUUCCAAUAACUGGCCAUUGUUGAGAUGAAGACACAGUAGUUUUUGAGAAACAAUUUUGGACUAAAUGUUUAUCAACUAAAUACUAACGUUUGGCUUUUAAUAUGUGGUAUCAGCUGGAUUCUGUAACACUCUUAUUUUCAGGUUGGGGUCGGGGAUUACAUUACUGGAAAUUGGAAAGGAGAAAGUAACUAAAAGCCUUCCUUUCACAGUUUCUGGCAUCUUAAGACUACUGCUACUGAUAAGAAUAAGAACAUGCUGUCAUCUGAUUUUUAUGGCAUAAAUGAAAUUGUGGACAAAUCCGUUUUUAAAGAAAAUGGCUUCGUCUCUACCUUUCUACCUAAAAAGGAAUCUAUGUCAAAUGCUCCGAUAAAUGGGAAGAUACACUUGGACUUGUGAACUGAUGUGAAAUGCAGAAUUUUUUAGCUUUGAGUGUUUUGAAGAUUGAAAAAUCGUGCUCAGCAUGGGUGACCACAAAAACAAUCUAAAGCCAUCUACAUGUCACAACUGAGAGAAAUUGGGGAAUGUUGUCUAAUGUCAAAUAAAAU
Molecule: long non-coding RNA, 9884 nt
Organism: Neomonachus schauinslandi (Hawaiian monk seal)
Lineage: Eukaryota; Metazoa; Chordata; Mammalia; Carnivora; Phocidae
Exons: 6
Source: RefSeq, a predicted model, not a curated record